This 252-nucleotide ribosomal RNA is filed under the name uncultured bacterium. RNAcentral describes it as "partial small subunit ribosomal RNA". It matches the Rfam family "Bacterial small subunit ribosomal RNA", at positions 26 to 278 of the family's 1533-position model. The record is from RNAcentral.
AGGACGAACGCUGGCGGCGUGCUUAACACAUGCAAGUCGAGCGGUAAGGCCUCCUUCGGGGGGUACACGAGCGGCGAACGGGUGAGUAACACGUGGGUGACCUGCCCUCAGCUCUGGGAUAAGCCUGGGAAACCGGGUCUAAUACCGGAUGGGACUGCUUGCCGCAUGGUGGGUGGUGGAAAGUUUUUUCGGCUGGGGAUGGGCCCGCGGCCUAUCAGCUUGUUGGUGGGGUGAUGGCCUACCAAGGCGGUG